Molecule: long non-coding RNA, 684 nt
Filed under: Bemisia tabaci
Lineage: Eukaryota; Metazoa; Arthropoda; Insecta; Hemiptera; Aleyrodidae
Description: lncRNA ENSSSA1UGG009091
Source: RNAcentral
AUGUUUUUAUCCAGUAAAUCUAGUGAUAGGGAACUUUUCACCAUGACGGAGGUUAUGUUCGAACGAGAGAGGAGGGUUUUUGAAACUUACGCCAAGCAGGAGAUAGAACUCGAAACUAAAUUGAAUCAGCUAUACAACAAGCACCACAGUAUUAAUUUUGAAUCGAAGCAGAAAGCUUCCAAUAAUCAUAAGGAUAAAUAUGCCUACCAAAAAAGGAACGAAUUAUUCUUGAAGAGCUUGGAAAUUGCCACUGCCAAAUUGAGGACACAGUUCUACUUCUGCCCUACAGAGAGAUGCCUGGAGAAAGCAAAGAGGAAGUACAUAAAUAGUCUUCAGGGCUAGUUUAUUAAAAAUGAACCACGAAGACUGAUGAGAACAAUGGACACAUUCCUAUGAUUUCAGGACUUUAAAAGAACCCUGCAAAUCCUUGAAAUAUCCUGUAAAGUAAAAUGUAAGGCAAAUAAACCGGCAUCAUUUUUGAAAAAUCGUGAUUUUCAUUCAAGCAUAUUCAACAUAUUUUAUUCAAGGUCAUUCAACAUUUAACUUUAAAAAAUUCUAAUAGAAAUAUUGAUCCGUUUCCAUUUUAUCGAUACGAACUUAACAUAAACGCCAAAGUUUUCAAAUAAUUCAACAUAGAAUGACGUUUUUUAUUUUUCAAUCUUCAAUCUUUAUGAUCCGUUCACG